GAGCACGUAGGUGGGUUUGUAAGUCAGACGUUAAAGCCUUCUGUUCAACGGAAGAAUUGCAUCUGAAACUACAAACCUUGAGUGUAGGAGGGGAGAAUGGAACUUCUGGUGGAGCGGUGAAAUGCGUAGAUAUCAGAAGGAACGCCGGCGGCGAAAGCGAUUCUCUGGCCUAUUACUGACACUCAGUGUGCGAAAGCUAGGGGAGCAAACGGGAUUAGAUACCCCGGUAGUCCUAGCCGUAAACGAUGGGCACUAAGUAGAGGGGUUUU
This 269-nucleotide ribosomal RNA is filed under the name uncultured Planctomycetales bacterium. RNAcentral's name for it is "partial 16S ribosomal RNA". It matches the Rfam family "Bacterial small subunit ribosomal RNA", at positions 565 to 832 of the family's 1533-position model. Lineage: Bacteria; Pseudomonadati; Planctomycetota; Planctomycetia; Planctomycetales. The record is from RNAcentral.